Molecule: ribosomal RNA, 355 nt
Filed under: uncultured Anaerolineaceae bacterium
Lineage: Bacteria; Bacillati; Chloroflexota; Anaerolineae; Anaerolineales; Anaerolineaceae
Description: bacterial SSU rRNA
Rfam family: Bacterial small subunit ribosomal RNA
Source: RNAcentral
ACGACCCUUCGGGGAGCCUAGUACAGGUGUUGCAUGGCUGUCGUCAGCUCGUGUCGUGAGAUGUUCGGUUAAGUCCGCUAACGAGCGCAACCCUCGUCGUAUGUUAUAUGUAUCAUACGAGACUGCCGGUAAAAGCCGGAGGAAGGUGAGGAUGAUGUCAAGUCAGCAUGACCUUUAUAUCCAGGGCUACACACACGCUACAAUGGUCUGUACAAUGGGUAGCCAAGCCGCGAGGCGGAGCCAAUCCUGAAAGCAGGCCUCAGUUCAGAUUGCAGUCUGCAACUCGACUGCAUGAAGCCGGAGUUGCUAGUAACCGCAGGUCAGCAAUACUGCGGUGAAUACGUUCCCGGGCCUU